GACGAACGCUGGCGGCGUGCUUAACACAUGCAAGUCGAACGGAAAGGCCCCUUUGGGGGUACUCGAGUGGCGAACGGGUGAGUAACACGUGAGUAACCUGCCCUUGACUUCGGGAUAACUUCAGGAAACUGGGGCUAAUACCGGAUAGGAAUCCUUGCUGCAUGGUGGGGGUUGGAAAGCUUCGGCGGUUUUGGAUGGACUCGCGGCUUAUCAGCUUGUUGGUGGGGUAGUGGCUUACCAAGGCUUUGACGGGUAGCCGGCCUGAGAGGGCGACCGGCCACAUUGGGACUGAGAUACGGCCCAGACUCCUACGUGAGGCAGCAGUGGGGAAUAUUGCACAAUGGGCGGAAGCCUGAUGCAGCAACGCCGCGUGCGGGAUGACGGCCUUCGGGUUGUAAACCGCUUUCAGCAGGGGCGAAGCUUGUGGUGACGGUACCUGCAGAAGAAGCACCGGCUAACUACGUG
This 465-nucleotide ribosomal RNA is filed under the name uncultured bacterium. RNAcentral's name for it is "partial 16S ribosomal RNA". It matches the Rfam family "Bacterial small subunit ribosomal RNA", at positions 28 to 507 of the family's 1533-position model. The record is from RNAcentral.